CUGCCUCUCAGUCUCGCGGCGACUGCGGAAAAUACAACGCCGCUGCCGUGCAGGGCACAGGUGACAGUCUGCGUUACCUCUGCGACACGCCAAAGAAACUCGACGAUCGAGAGCACAAGGUAAGACUUGCAAUGGGCAGCGGGAUGAGAGCAGGUGUUCGGAGGGACUUCGCGGGCGGGUCCGGAAACACUGAAGUCGAAGAGUUUAACGGCGCAACAGGGGGAUUUUUCUCCUAUGAAUUAGUGAUCGGAGCUAUAGGGCGAGACACCUUCUUCCACAAGGUGAGCCUGGAAGUCCGGUGUCCGAAAUAUCAGCAGACCGGGGAGACAAAAGCUGCAUAGUGUCCUCAAGAAAGGAGACAUGUACUUCAGCACUGGUGACCUGCUGCGUAUCGAUGAAGAUAAUUUCAGGAUCGAGUUGCAGACACGUUCAGGUCAAAUGCAGCUUCAUUCUCUGAGAUUUUUUAUUCAUUUAUUUUUUAUCGUCAACAGAUGGGAAGGAGAAAAACAUGGCUACAAAUGAGGCGGCUGGCCUCAUCCCGCCGGCCGAUUGCAUUGAAGAAGCCGAUGUGCAUGGAGUUAAAGGGCCAGGUAAUAUUCACCGGACGUCGUCUUGUCACGGC
Xiphias gladius (swordfish) is the source of this 622-nucleotide long non-coding RNA. RefSeq lists it as uncharacterized. The record is from RefSeq and is a predicted model, not a curated record. Lineage: Eukaryota; Metazoa; Chordata; Actinopteri; Istiophoriformes; Xiphiidae. The transcript has 3 exons.